CGGACGGGUGAGUAAUGCUUGGGAAUCUACCUAGUAGUGGGGGAUAACGUGUGGAAACGCACGCUAAUACCGCAUACGUCCUACGGGAGAAAGCAGGGGAUCUUCGGACCUUGCGCUAUUGGAUGAGCCCAAGUCAGAUUAGCUAGUUGGUGAGGUAAUGGCUCACCAAGGCGACGAUCUGUAGCUGGUCUGAGAGGAUGAUCAGCCACACUGGGACUGAGACACGGCCCAGACUCC
RNAcentral lists this ribosomal RNA (237 nucleotides) under uncultured bacterium. RNAcentral describes it as "partial 16S ribosomal RNA". It matches the Rfam family "Bacterial small subunit ribosomal RNA", at positions 99 to 339 of the family's 1533-position model. The record is from RNAcentral.